CAGUAGCUGAGUGGAUAACGCGAUGGCGUUUCAAGCGAAAAGUAUUGGGUUCGAGUCCCAGAAUGAA
RNAcentral lists this transfer RNA (67 nucleotides) under Schistosoma mansoni. Lineage: Eukaryota; Metazoa; Platyhelminthes; Trematoda; Strigeidida; Schistosomatidae. The record is from RNAcentral.